This 623-nucleotide ribosomal RNA is filed under the name uncultured bacterium. RNAcentral's name for it is "bacterial SSU rRNA". It matches the Rfam family "Bacterial small subunit ribosomal RNA", at positions 202 to 826 of the family's 1533-position model. The record is from RNAcentral.
UAAAGAAUUUCGGUUAUCGAUGGGGAUGCGUUCCAUUAGUUAGUUGGCGGGGUAACGGCCCACCAAGACGACGAUGGAUAGGGGUUCUGAGAGGAAGGUCCCCCACAUUGGAACUGAGACACGGUCCAAACUCCUACGGGAGGCAGCAGUGAGGAAUAUUGGUCAAUGGGCGCUAGCCUGAACCAGCCAAGUAGCGUGAAGGAUGACUGCCCUAUGGGUUGUAAACUUCUUUUAUAUGGGAAUAAAGUGCAGUAUGUAUACUGCUUUGCAUGUACCUUAUGAAUAAGGAUCGGCUAACUCCGUGCCAGCAGCCGCGGUAAUACGGAGGAUCCGAGCGUUAUCCGGAUUUAUUGGGUUUAAAGGGAGCGUAGGCGGGUUGUUAAGUCAGUUGUGAAAGUUUGCGGCUCAACCGUAAAAUUGCAGUUGAUACUGGCAUCCUUGAGUACAGUAGAGGUAGGCGGAAUUCGUGGUGUAGCGGUGAAAUGCUUAGAUAUCACGAAGAACUCCGAUUGCGAAGGCAGCCUGCUGGACUGUAACUGACGCUGAUGCUCGAAAGUGUGGGUAUCAAACAGGAUUAGAUACCCUGGUAGUCCACACAGUAAACGAUGAAUACUCGCUGUUUG